AAUGAGCAAAAUAAACAAACAAAUGAUACCGGAUGCCACUCAAUGGUCUUACUCCAAUCUCACCAACAAAAAGCGGAUACCGGAUACCAAUAGAUGGAUUUACACCAAUCUCCUAAAACAAAAAUGGAUAUCAGAGGCCACUCAAUGGACUUACACUAAUCUCCUAAAACAAAAUGAAACUUGGAUACCGGAUGCCAAUCUGUCUGGACUUAUACCAAUCUCCAACAAAGGAAGCAAACACUUGGAUGUCAGAUGCCAAUCUAUCUGGGCUUACUCUAAUCUCCAACAUAUGAUCAUAGGAAUACAAAUGCCAAAUUACACGGACUUACA
RNAcentral lists this long non-coding RNA (330 nucleotides) under Lathyrus oleraceus (garden pea). RNAcentral's name for it is "Pisum sativum (pea) long non-coding RNA (PSAT_LNC036793)". Lineage: Eukaryota; Viridiplantae; Streptophyta; Magnoliopsida; Fabales; Fabaceae. The record is from RNAcentral.